CGUGGGUAACCUGCCUUAUAGUGGGGGAUAGCCUUUCGAAAGGAAGAUUAAUACCGCAUAAGAUUGUAGUAUCGCAUGAUAUAGCAAUUAAAAGGAAGCAAUCCGCUAUAAGAUGGACCCGCGUCGCAUUAGCUAGUUGGUGAGGUAAUGGCUCACCAAGGCGACGAUGCGUAGCCGACCUGAGAGGGUGAUCGGCCACAUUGGGACUGAGACACGGCCCAGACUCCUACGGGAGGCAGCAUG
Molecule: ribosomal RNA, 243 nt
Filed under: uncultured bacterium
Lineage: Bacteria
Description: partial 16S ribosomal RNA
Rfam family: Bacterial small subunit ribosomal RNA
Source: RNAcentral